Long non-coding RNA from Micropterus salmoides (largemouth bass), 613 nucleotides. RefSeq lists it as uncharacterized. The record is from RefSeq and is a predicted model, not a curated record. Lineage: Eukaryota; Metazoa; Chordata; Actinopteri; Centrarchiformes; Centrarchidae. The transcript is spliced from 2 exons.
CUUAAAAAAGUAAUAAUAUUACUUUACUUAACGAGUUACGUUACCCGUUACAUUACUUGUUACGUUACUAUAGUACUUUCACAACUGCCGCUGACCUGCAACACAGCUGGCCAUUCACAUCGAAUACAAAAAAACGGCGUUCCAGUAACACAGUAACCAGUAAUGGAUUAGUAACUAUAAUAAUAUUACUGUUUUGGAAAUAGUAAGCCGUUAAACUACUAGUUGCUAAAAGUAAUAAUAUUACAGUAAUGUGUUACUGCCCAACCCAACACUGGUUUGGACUGCCUCAUGUUGAGUGCCUGGAUUUACAUUCUACCCCCUGCUUAAAGCCCUGGACUCUCUGUUCUACCUGCCAGCCCCGGAGAUUACCCGGAACCCAGAACCCACUUGCCUGCAAAUCAGAACCAUUCACUGCCCCUGGACAACAGAUCACUGCCCCACUCGCCUGUCAUCCCUUUGCCUAUGUCUUGUGCUGUGUGUCUGAAUUCUGGUCACCAGCCCUGACAGUUGCUAUGUAAACAUACCUCAAAGCUCAUUGCGCACCGUUGUAAACCAUUUUGAGGAAACCUGGAGGAAGUUUCCAUUUUUAUUGUUUAUUAAAAAAUAUAUACUG